AUUAUCCUAUGAUAUUUCAGAUCUAAGAUCUAUUAGAUCUGAUUCUUAUUAUCUGAUAUUUAAUCUAAAAUUAAAUCUAAAACUUGAGGAUUAGAGAAAUACCUCUAGGAUAACUAGAUUACCCUGUAGAAGAUCGCAGCAAUGCCCAAGGUUCAAAAAUAGCCAUGCAGUCGUCUGGCCUCUACCGAUAUCCACUCGAGCAGGAUCUGGAUCAUCUUCUCCUUUUGAAUCUCUACUCCAAAAAUCAAAUCUGGAUCUGAUUUGAAAGAUCUUCAAAAGAUCUUUUGAAGCUGGAGCAGCAGCUUCUCGACAAAUCCCUGCAGCCUUCUAAUCAGGGAGCCACCAUGCCUUGGACAAGCACC
RNAcentral lists this long non-coding RNA (362 nucleotides) under Elaeis guineensis (African oil palm). RNAcentral describes it as "long non-coding RNA (EGUI_LNC064556)". Lineage: Eukaryota; Viridiplantae; Streptophyta; Magnoliopsida; Arecales; Arecaceae. The record is from RNAcentral.